GUCUUUACAGAGAAAGCUUUAUGCGCCAUAGGAUGGGCCUGCAUUUGAUUAGUUUGUUGGUGGGGUAAUGGCCUACCAAGACUUUGAUCAAUAGCUGAUUUGAGAGGAUGAUCAGCCAACUUGGGACUGAGACACGGCGCAAAGUCUUACGGGAGGCAGUAGUUGGGAAUAUUGCACAAUGGAGGAAACUCUGAUGCAGCGAUCCCGCGUGAGUGAAGAAGGCCUUUGGGUUGUAAAGCUCUUCCGUCGGGGAAGAAAAUG
RNAcentral lists this ribosomal RNA (261 nucleotides) under uncultured Pseudomonadota bacterium. Its description in RNAcentral is "uncultured proteobacterium partial 16S ribosomal RNA". It matches the Rfam family "Bacterial small subunit ribosomal RNA", at positions 191 to 453 of the family's 1533-position model. Lineage: Bacteria; Pseudomonadati; Pseudomonadota. The record is from RNAcentral.